AUUGAACGCUGGCGGCAUGCCUUACACAUGCAAGUCGAACGGUAACGGGUCCUUCGGGAUGCCGACGAGUGGCGAACGGGUGAGUAAUAUAUCGGAAAGUGCCCAGUAGUGGGGGAUAACUGCUCGAAAGAGCAGCUAAUACCGUAUACGACCUGCGGGUGAAAGGGGGGGAUCGCAAGACCGCACGCUCUUGGAGCGGCCGAUAUCAGAUUAGCUAGUUGGUGGGGUAAAGGCCUACCAAGGCAACGAUGUGGCGUCGGUCUGAGAGGACGACCAGUCACACUGGGACUGAGACACGGCCCAGACUCAUACGGGAGGCAGCAGUGGGGAAUUUUGGACAAUGGGCGCAAGCCUGAUCCAGCAAUGCCGCGUGCAGGAAGAAGGCCUUCGGGUUGUAAACUGCUUUUGUAAGGGAAGAAAUCUUCUGGGCUAAUACCCCGGGAGGAUGACGGUACCUGAAGAAUAAGCACCGGCUAACUACGUGCCAGCAGCCGCCGUAA
RNAcentral lists this ribosomal RNA (500 nucleotides) under uncultured bacterium. Its description in RNAcentral is "partial 16S ribosomal RNA". It matches the Rfam family "Bacterial small subunit ribosomal RNA", at positions 30 to 523 of the family's 1533-position model. The record is from RNAcentral.